GUCGUAACAAGGUCUCCGUUGGUGAACCAGCGGAGGGAUCAUUACCGAGUUAUCCAACUCCCAACCCCUGUGAAUUAUACCUUUAAUUGUUGCUUCGGCGGGACUUCGCGCCCGCCGGGGACCCAAACCUUAUGAAUUUUUUAAUAAGUAUCUUCUGAGUGGUUAAAAAAUGAAUCAAAACUUUCAACAACGGAUCUCUUGGUUCUGGCAUCGAUGAAGAACGCAGCGAAAUGCGAUAAGUAAUGUGAAUUGCAGAAUUCAGUGAAUCAUCGAAUCUUUGAACGCACAUUGCGCCCGUCAGUAUUCUGGCGGGCAUGCCUGUUCGAGCGUCAUUACGCCCCUCAAGUCCCCUGUGGACUUGGUGUUGGGGAUCGGCGAGGCUGGUUUUCCAGCACAGCCGUCCCUUAAAUUAAUUGGCGGUCUCGCCGUGGCCCUCCUCUGCGCAGUAGUAAAACACUCGCAACAGGAGCCCGGCGCGGUCCACUGCCGUAAAACCCCCCAACUUUUUAUAGUGACCUCGAAUCAGGUAGGACUACCCGCUGAACUUAAGCAUAUCA
Molecule: ribosomal RNA, 557 nt
Filed under: Metarhizium anisopliae
Lineage: Eukaryota; Fungi; Ascomycota; Sordariomycetes; Hypocreales; Clavicipitaceae
Description: eukaryotic LSU rRNA
Rfam family: 5.8S ribosomal RNA (bases 179-332)
Source: RNAcentral